GAUGAAGAACGUAGCGAAAUGCGAUACUUGGUGUGAAUUGCAGAAUCCCGUGAACCAUCGAGUCUUUGAACGCAAGUUGCGCCCGAAGCCAUUAGGCCGAGGGCACGCCUGCCUGGGCGUCACACGUCGUUGCCCCCCCAUCUACUCCUUCGGGAUUGCGGGGGGCGGAUGAUGGCCUCCCGUGCGCCUCGUCGCGCGGUUGGCAUAAAUGCCAAGUCCUCGGCGACGCACGCCACGACAAUCGGUGGUUGCGAAACCUCGGUUGCCCGUCGUGUGCGGUCGUCGCGCAUCGAGGGCUCGAAAAAAUUGCCGGGCUCCGGCUCGGCUUUCAACGCGACCCCAGGUCAGGCGGGGUUACCCGCUGAAUUUAAGCAUAUCAAUAAACGGAGGA
Molecule: unclassified non-coding RNA, 391 nt
Filed under: soil metagenome
Description: partial contains 5.8S ribosomal RNA, internal transcribed spacer 2, and large subunit ribosomal RNA
Rfam family: 5.8S ribosomal RNA (bases 1-122)
Source: RNAcentral